RNAcentral lists this ribosomal RNA (378 nucleotides) under uncultured soil bacterium. RNAcentral's name for it is "bacterial SSU rRNA". It matches the Rfam family "Bacterial small subunit ribosomal RNA", at positions 26 to 409 of the family's 1533-position model. The record is from RNAcentral.
AGAUUGAACGCUAGCGGGAUGCUUUACACAUGCAAGUCGAACGGCAGCGCGGACUUCGGUCUGGCGGCGAGUGGCGAACGGGUGAGUAAUAUAUCGGAACGUGCCCAGUAGCGGGGGAUAACUACGCGAAAGCGUGGCUAAUACCGCAUACGCCCUACGGGGGAAAGGGGGGGAUCGCAAGACCUCUCACUAUUGGAGCGGCCGAUAUCAGAUUAGCUAGUUGGUGAGGUAAAGGCUCACCAAGGCGACGAUCUGUAGCUGGUUUGAGAGGACGACAGCCACACUGGGACUGAGACACGGCCCAGACUCCUACGGGAGCAGCGAGUGGGAAUUUGGACAAGUGGGGAAACCUGACUCCAGCACUCCCGCGUGUGCGAU